UAAGUUAAUAAGGGCGCACGGUGGAUGCCUUGGCACUAGGAGCCGACGAAGGACGUGACAAACGACGAUAUGCCUUGGGUAGCUGUAAGUAAGCGAUGAUCAGGGGAUUUCCGAAUGGGGGAACCCAACAGGUAAUACCUGUUACCUACAUCUGUUAAGGAUGUGAGGAGGAAGACGCAGUGAACUGAAACAUCUAAGUAGCUGCAGGAAGAGAAAGCAAAAGCGAUUGCCUUAGUAGCGGCGAGCGAAACGGCAGAAGGGCAAACCGAAGAGUUUACUCUUCGGGGUUGUAGGACUGCAAUGUGGACUCAAAGAUUAUAGAAGAAUGAUUUGGGAAGAUCAGCCAAAGAGAGUAAUAGCCUCGUAUUUAAAAUAGUCUUUGUACUUAGCAGUAUCCUGAGUACGGCGGGACACGUGAAAUCCCGUCGGAAUCUGGGAGGACCAUCUCCCAACCCUAAAUACUCCCUAGUGACCGAUAGUGAACCAGUACCGUGAGGGAAAGGUGAAAAGCACCCCGGGAGGGGAGUGAAAUAGAACCUGAAACCGUGUGCCUACAACAAGUUCGAGCCCGUUAAUGGGUGAGAGCGUGCCUUUUGUAGAAUGAACCGGCGAGUUACGUUAUGAUGCGAGGUUAAGUUGAAGAGACGGAGCCGUAGGGAAACCGAGUCUGAAUAGGGCGCCUUAGUAUCAUGACGUAGACCCGAAACCAUGUGACCUACCCAUGAGCAGGUUGAAGGUGCGGUAAGACGCACUGGAGGACCGAACCAGGGCACGUUGAAAAGUGCUUGGAUGACUUGUGGGUAGCGGAGAAAUUCCAAACGAACUUGGAGAUAGCUGGUUCUCUCCGAAAUAGCUUUAGGGCUAGCGUCGACAUUAGAGAUUCUUGGAGGUAGAGCACUGUUUGGGUGAGGGGUCCAUCCCGGAUUACCAAUCUCAGAUAAACUCCGAAUGCCAAUGAAUUAUGGUCGGCAGUCAGACUGCGAGUGCUAAGAUCCGUAGUCGAAAGGGAAACAGCCCAGACCACCAGCUAAGGUCCCAAAAUAAUUGUUAAGUGGAAAAGGAUGUGGGGUUGCACAGACAACUAGGAUGUUAGCUUAGAAGCAGCUAUUCAUUCAAAGAGUGCGUAAUAGCUCACUAGUCGAGUGACCCUGCGCCGAAAAUGUACCGGGGCUAAAACAAUUUACCGAAGCUGUGGAUACCUUUAUAGGUAUGGUAGGAGAGCGUUCUAUGUGUGAUGAAGGUAUACCGUGAGGAGUGCUGGAACGCAUAGAAGUGAGAAUGCCGGUAUGAGUAGCGAAAGACAGGUGAGAAUCCUGUCCACCGUAAGACUAAGGUUUCCAGGGGAAGGCUCGUCCGCCCUGGGUUAGUCGGGACCUAAGGAGAGACCGAAAGGUGUAUCCGAUGGACAACAGGUUGAUAUUCCUGUACUAGAGUAUGUAGUGAUGGAGGGACGCAGUAGGCUAACUAAAGCAGACGAUUGGAAGAGUCUGUCUAAGCAGUGAGGUGUGAAUUGAGUCAAAUGCUUAAUUCUAUAACAUUGAGCUGUGAUGGGGAGCGAAGUUUAGUAGCGAAGUUAGUGACGUCACACUGCCAAGAAAAGCUUCUAGCGUUUAAACAUACUCUACCCGUACCGCAAACCGACACAGGUAGUCGAGGCGAGUAGCCUCAGGUGAGCGAGAGAACUCUCGUUAAGGAACUCGGCAAAAUGACCCCGUAACUUCGGGAGAAGGGGUGCUGACUUUAAGUCAGCCGCAGUGAAUAGGCCCAAGCAACUGUUUAUCAAAAACACAGCUCUCUGCUAAAUCGUAAGAUGAUGUAUAGGGGGUGACGCCUGCCCGGUGCUGGAAGGUUAAGAGGAGUGCUUAGCGUAAGCGAAGGUAUGAAUUGAAGCCCCAGUAAACGGCGGCCGUAACUAUAACGGUCCUAAGGUAGCGAAAUUCCUUGUCGGGUAAGUUCCGACCCGCACGAAAGGCGUAAUGAUUUGGGCACUGUCUCAACGAGAGACUCGGUGAAAUUUUAGUACCUGUGAAGAUGCAGGUUACCCGCGACAGGACGGAAAGACCCCAUGGAGCUUUACUGCAGUUUGAUAUUGAGUGUCUGUACCACAUGUACAGGAUAGGUAGGAGUCUAAGAGAUCGGGACGCCAGUUUCGAAGGAGACGCUGUUGGGAUACUACCCUUGUGUUAUGGCCACUCUAACCCAGAUAGGUGAUCCCUAUCGGAGACAGUGUCUGACGGGCAGUUUGACUGGGGCGGUCGCCUCCUAAAAGGUAACGGAGGCGCCCAAAGGUUCCCUCAGAAUGGUUGGAAAUCAUUCGCAGAGUGUAAAGGUAUAAGGGAGCUUGACUGCGAGAGCUACAACUCGAGCAGGGACGAAAGUCGGGCUUAGUGAUCCGGUGGUUCCGUAUGGAAGGGCCAUCGCUCAACGGAUAAAAGCUACCCUGGGGAUAACAGGCUUAUCUCCCCCAAGAGUUCACAUCGACGGGGAGGUUUGGCACCUCGAUGUCGGCUCGUCGCAUCCUGGGGCUGUAGUCGGUCCCAAGGGUUGGGCUGUUCGCCCAUUAAAGCGGCACGCGAGCUGGGUUCAGAACGUCGUGAGACAGUUCGGUCCCUAUCCGUCGCGGGCGUAGGAAAUUUGAGAGGAUCUGCUCCUAGUACGAGAGGACCAGAGUGGACUUACCGCUGGUGUACCAGUUGUCUUGCCAAAGGCAUCGCUGGGUAGCUAUGUAGGGAAGGGAUAAACGCUGAAAGCAUCUAAGUGUGAAACCCACCUCAAGAUGAGAUUUCCCAUGAUUAUAUAUCAGUAAGAGCCCUGAGAGAUGAUCAGGUAGAUAGGUUAGAAGUGGAAGUGUGGCGACACAUGUAGCGGACUAAUACUAAUAGCUCGAGGACUUAUCCA
This 2898-nucleotide ribosomal RNA is filed under the name Streptococcus pneumoniae GA44378. Its description in RNAcentral is "bacterial LSU rRNA". It matches the Rfam family "Bacterial large subunit ribosomal RNA". The record is from RNAcentral. Lineage: Bacteria; Bacillati; Bacillota; Bacilli; Lactobacillales; Streptococcaceae.